CAGUCGCCGCGGGAAUACGAAGGGUGCAAGCGUUAAUCGGAAUUACUGGGCGUAAAGCGUGCGUAGGCGGUUUGUUAAGUCUGUUGUGAAAUCCCCGGGCUCAACCUGGGAAUGGCAAUGGAUACUGGCAAGCUAGAGUGUGUCAGAGGAUGGUGGAAUUCCCGGUGUAGCGGUGAAAUGCGUAGAGAUCUGGAGGAAUACCGGUGGCGAAGGCGGCCCCCUGGACAAAGACUGACGCUCAGGUGCGAAAGCGAGGGGAGCAAACAGGAUUAGAGACCCGUGUAGUCCCUGUCUCUUAUAC
Molecule: ribosomal RNA, 301 nt
Filed under: uncultured bacterium
Lineage: Bacteria
Description: partial 16S ribosomal RNA
Rfam family: Bacterial small subunit ribosomal RNA
Source: RNAcentral